AUUCAAGAUGGCGGCGAUUAGGAGUGAAUUGCAAAAUCUGUUAGGGCGAAUUUUUCAUCUUGUGAACUAGAAAACUGUUGUGGAUUAUUGCGGAAACAAUCGAUGGGGACUGGUCAAUGUGCGAAACAAACCUUCAAUGAGAAAAUCACGUUCGAAUUAACAGAUUGGCAAAGGCAAACUGGUCAAUUUCUUUCUGUUGACAUGUUAAAAUACUUCUUGUAUAAGAUUUAAUUAAGUGAUAUCGAAUGGAUUUUGCUCAGGCGACAUAAAAUAAAGAUAACAGCUAAAACGAAAGUUUACAUAGACCUACCGCUCAGUGUCAGGAGGCUUGUCUAAUCUCUUAAUUUACAAACUAUUUCGCAGUCUACUAGUGUUGGCUUAAUACAAGGAUGGAUAAUUUGCAAGCAACUAUAUUGAAUUUUUGAAAGCUUUCACACAUUGAAAGGAAUUACAGUAUCAUGUCUGUGCUAACACUUGAAACAGUUAUAAAUAUUUUUGAAUUAUGUACUGUACAUGUUAAUAAAAAUAACUUGAAGUAUUCUAUAUUCACUAGCAUGUCAUAUUUCUAACUUUCUGGUCUUUAUUUAGCAUACAGUAUCUCACACACACUACCAGUAAUAUGGCUGACAUACUAAGUAACUAAGGAGUAAGGUGAUAAAUUUCUCUUUUGGUACAUGCAGUUAAAAGUGUUUUUAGUGACUGUAUGUAACCCAUUAUGACUGCCU
Non-coding RNA from Paramuricea clavata, 725 nucleotides. Lineage: Eukaryota; Metazoa; Cnidaria; Anthozoa; Malacalcyonacea; Plexauridae. The record is from the annotation of a GenBank genome assembly.